GACGAACGCUGGCGGCGUGCCUAAUACAUGCAAGUAGAACGCACAGUUUAUACCGUAGCUUGCUACACCAUAAACUGUGAGUUGCGAACGGGUGAGUAACGCGUAGGUAACCUGCCUGGUAGCGGGGGAUAACUAUUGGAAACGAUAGCUAAUACCGCAUAAUAUUGAUUAUUGCAUGAUAAUUAAUUGAAAGAUGCUAUUGCAUCACUACCAGAUGGACCUGCGUUGUAUUAGCUAGUAGGUGAGGUAACGGCUCACCUAGGCGACGAUACAUAGCCGACCUGAGAGGGUGAUCGGCCACACUGGGACUGAGACACGGCCCAGACUCCUACGGGAGGCAGCAGUAGGGAAUCUUCGGCAAUGGACGAAAGUCUGACCGAGCAACGCCGCGUGAGUGAAGAAGGUUUUCGGAUCGUAAAGCUCUGUUGUAAGAGAAGAACGGGUGUGAGAGUGGAAAGUUCACACUGUGACGGUAUCUUACCAGAAAGGGACGGCUAACUACGUG
Molecule: ribosomal RNA, 505 nt
Filed under: uncultured bacterium
Lineage: Bacteria
Description: partial 16S ribosomal RNA
Rfam family: Bacterial small subunit ribosomal RNA
Source: RNAcentral